UAUGAACGCUGGCGGCGUGCUUAACACAUGCAAGUCGAACGGUGAAGCCAAGCUUGCUUGGUGGAUCAGUGGCGAACGGGUGAGUAACACGUGAGCAACCUGCCCUGGACUCUGGGAUAAGCGCUGGAAACGGCGUCUAAUACUGGAUAUGAGCCUCUUCCGCAUGGUGGGGGUUGGAAAGAUUUUUUGGUCUGGGAUGGGCUCGCGGCCUAUCAGCUUGUUGGUGAGGUAAUGGCUCACCAAGGCGUCGACGGGUAGCCGGCCUGAGAGGGUGACCGGCCACACUGGGACUGAGACACGGCCCAGACUCCUACGGGAGGCAGCAGUGGGGAAUAUUGCACAAUGGGCGAAAGCCUGAUGCAGCAACGCCGCGUGAGGGAUGACGGCCUUCGGGUUGUAAACCUCUUUUAGCAGGGAAGAAGCGAAAGUGACGGUACCUGCAGAAAAAGCGCCGGCUAACUACGUG
RNAcentral lists this ribosomal RNA (466 nucleotides) under uncultured bacterium. RNAcentral describes it as "partial 16S ribosomal RNA". It matches the Rfam family "Bacterial small subunit ribosomal RNA", at positions 29 to 507 of the family's 1533-position model. The record is from RNAcentral.